CAAGUUCUCCUUGACCUAACCGAGUAAGCCAUGGACUUGUCAGCUGCGACCUUAAUUCUUCGGUAACGUUGGAGGAUCUCUCUGGGAGAAGAUGAUGAGAUAGGAUUUUGAGCAUUUAUGUUGGUCAGAGCCCGAAGGAACCUGGUGGUGAACCUGGAUUUUAGAGAACUAGGGUUCAGGUGAUGAGGGCUCAUGGGGGAUGAGAUGAAAGUAAACUAGGGUUAUUUUUUGUGGGAUAUGAAGAUGGAUAAGAGUUAUAACUAACUGUCGUGGGCUUUGCCUUUUUUGGAUGGAUCAGAGGGACAAAUAUGAGUUUGGUGUGGGA
Molecule: long non-coding RNA, 325 nt
Filed under: Theobroma cacao (cacao)
Lineage: Eukaryota; Viridiplantae; Streptophyta; Magnoliopsida; Malvales; Malvaceae
Description: long non-coding RNA (TCAC_LNC000235)
Source: RNAcentral